AACGAACGCUGGCGGCAUGCCUAACACAUGCAAGUCGAACGAGACCUUCGGGUCUAGUGGCGCACGGGUGCGUAACGCGUGGGAACCUGCCCUUAGGUUCGGAAUAACUCCCCGAAAGGGGUGCUAAUACCGGAUAAUGUCUUCGGACCAAAGAUUUAUCGCCUUUGGAUGGGCCCGCGUUGGAUUAGCUAGUUGGUAGGGUAAAAGCCUACCAAGGCGACGAUCCGUAGCUGGUCUGAGAGGAUGAUCAGCCACACUGGGACUGAGACACGGCCCAGACUCCUACGGGAGGCAGCAGUGGGGAAUAUUGGACAAUGGGCGAAAGCCUGAUCCAGCAAUGCCGCGUGAGUGAUGAAGGCCUUAGGGUUGUAAAGCUCUUUUACCCGGGACGAUAAUGACAGUACCGGGAGAAUAAGCUCCGGCUAACUCCGUG
This 433-nucleotide ribosomal RNA is filed under the name uncultured bacterium. Its description in RNAcentral is "partial 16S ribosomal RNA". It matches the Rfam family "Bacterial small subunit ribosomal RNA", at positions 29 to 507 of the family's 1533-position model. The record is from RNAcentral.